RNAcentral lists this ribosomal RNA (1372 nucleotides) under uncultured bacterium. RNAcentral's name for it is "bacterial SSU rRNA". It matches the Rfam family "Bacterial small subunit ribosomal RNA", at positions 28 to 1381 of the family's 1533-position model. The record is from RNAcentral.
GAUGAACGCUGGCGGCGUGCCUAAUACAUGCAAGUCGAGCGAACAGAUAAGGAGCUUGCUCCUUUGAAGUUAGCGGCGGACGGGUGAGUAACACGUGGGUAACCUACCUAUAAGACUGGGAUAACUUCGGGAAACCGGAGCUAAUACCGGAUAACAUUUAGAACCGCAUGGCUCUAAAGUGAAAGAUGGUUUUGCUAUCACUUAUAGAUGGACCCGCGCCGUAUUAGCUAGUUGGUAAGGUAACGGCUUACCAAGGCGACGAUACGUAGCCGACCUGAGAGGGUGAUCGGCCACACUGGAACUGAGACACGGUCCAGACUCCUACGGGAGGCAGCAGUAGGGAAUCUUCCGCAAUGGGCGAAAGCCUGACGGAGCAACGCCGCGUGAGUGAUGAAGGGUUUCGGCUCGUAAAACUCUGUUAUUAGGGAAGAACAAAUGUGUAAGUAACUGUGCACAUCUUGACGGUACCUAAUCAGAAAGCCACGGCUAACUACGUGCCAGCAGCCGCGGUAAUACGUAGGUGGCAAGCGUUAUCCGGAAUUAUUGGGCGUAAAGCGCGCGUAGGCGGUUUCUUAAGUCUGAUGUGAAAGCCCACGGCUCAACCGUGGAGGGUCAUUGGAAACUGGGAAACUUGAGUGCAGAAGAGGAAAGUGGAAUUCCAUGUGUAGCGGUGAAAUGCGCAGAGAUAUGGAGGAACACCAGUGGCGAAGGCGACUUUCUGGUCUGUAACUGACGCUGAUGUGCGAAAGCGUGGGGAUCAAACAGGAUUAGAUACCCUGGUAGUCCACGCCGUAAACGAUGAGUGCUAAGUGUUAGGGGGUUUCCGCCCCUUAGUGCUGCAGCUAACGCAUUAAGCACUCCGCCUGGGGAGUACGACCGCAAGGUUGAAACUCAAAGGAAUUGACGGGGACCCGCACAAGCGGUGGAGCAUGUGGUUUAAUUCGAAGCAACGCGAAGAACCUUACCAAAUCUUGACAUCCUUUGAAAACUCUAGAGAUAGAGCCUUCCCCUUCGGGGGACAAAGUGACAGGUGGUGCAUGGUUGUCGUCAGCUCGUGUCGUGAGAUGUUGGGUUAGGCCCCGCAACGAGCGCAACCCUUAAGCUUAGUUGCCAUCAUUAAGUUGGGCACUCUAGGUUGACUGCCGGUGACAAACCGGAGGAAGGUGGGGAUGACGUCAAAUCAUCAUGCCCCUUAUGAUUUGGGCUACACACGUGCUACAAUGGACAAUACAAAGGGCAGCUAAACCGCGAGGUCAUGCAAAUCCCAUAAAGUUGUCCUCAGUUCGGAUUGUAGUCUGCAACUCGACUACAUGAAGCUGGAAUCGCUAGUAAUCGUAGAUCAGCAUGCUACGGUGAAUACGUUCCCGGGUCU